Cyprinus carpio carpio is the source of this 788-nucleotide long non-coding RNA. Lineage: Eukaryota; Metazoa; Chordata; Actinopteri; Cypriniformes; Cyprinidae. The record is from Ensembl.
CUUUCAACAAGGGAACCAUGGCAACAACACAGCAUGUUAGCUGCCAGGUAUCGACCUCAGUAACUGGUGGUGCACCUUUAAAAGCUGCUGGAGCCCUGGCCCAGGAGCGGCCUACUGUAGAUCAAAGGAGCAGUCCAUCAAUAUCAUCUUGACUGUCAGCCCACAGAUGAAAAAGUCAUAUGGGUUUGGAACUGCAUGAGGUGCAGUGCUUCAGUCUGGUCAGUGUGAUCUACAGUAGAAGAGGUGAGUAAACUGCUAUAUUUUACAGUGUACAUUACUUUCUUUGACAGAACAAUUAUGGAGAUGAGAUUUUCAUCCAUGCGUUCCAAUUGCCUGACUGUGUUUUCAUAUUAACGGCAUAUUGAUCUCAGAUUGCUGGAGCAUGUUAUUUGGCUAGAUACAUAAUGGCCAUCAUGGCUCCAUUUCUAUUGCAAUGGUGUCAUCUGCCUUCUGAGAUUACAAGAUUGGAAUAUGAAGGUCUAUUAUUGCAGGAGUCUCUUGUAUAUGUACUAAUCGCACAAGCUCAUGUUGUACUUUUAGGUCCUGUUUCAUAUAAGGUCUGACAAGUUAUGUUUGACAGUAGAUGGGAGGAGAACAAUCAUUUACCAUAGAUGUGCAUUGUUGGUGAGUGCUACUUUUAAAAACAUGUUGCAUUAUUGAGUUACUCAUAAAAUGAUGUUUCUGUUUUAUCAUUAUACUUCUUUUUUUUUCUCUGCUGUUAAAGCAGUGCAAACAGCUUUGAUUAUAGUGGGAGUUUAGCAGUGUUUAUCAAGCUUUUCUUUUUUUUU